AAAGAUUCUUUUCAAUGCAAGACCAUAAAAUCCAUGUAUUAAAUACUACUAGAUUUCACUUUUAGCAUAAGUUGAAUCAAUGAUUUUCACACAUACCUCAGCAUUUCAGAAAUAUAAGAAAGUAUAAUUUUAAUAAUAGGUAAGAUGGGAGAAAGAGAGAAAGCUACAUAUAAGAAAAUAUAUGGAAAACAGCAAUAGGUAGAUUUUCAUGGUAAAAGAAAGAGAAAUAAAAAAGGCCUAAGUUAGAAAAGAAAAUGCAAGAGGAGUAGAGAAUGUUGGAGAGGAUCGAAACAACAGUGGCAGACUACAGCAUAAGUAAUGUUCUCACUAAAUUUUAGGAGUUUGGAAACUCAACAGAUGUUCAGAAGAUAGAUACAGGAGAUGAGAUAAAAUGUCUGAGCUAAAGCAGAACAAACAAAAUUUAUCAUUAAUGCUUGCAAUUCAAAAAACAUAUUUAUUUUAAAAUUAUUUUUAAAUUAUUUUGGAAAGGUGGUCUACUACAUUGCCCAGGC
RNAcentral lists this long non-coding RNA (512 nucleotides) under Homo sapiens (human). Its description in RNAcentral is "long non-coding RNA NONHSAT225319". The record is from RNAcentral. Lineage: Eukaryota; Metazoa; Chordata; Mammalia; Primates; Hominidae.